AUCAACUUUCGAUGGUAGGAUAGAGGCCUACCAUGGUGGUAACGGGUAACGGGGUGUUAGGGCACGACACCGGAGAGGGAGCCUGAGAAACGGCUACCACAUCCAAGGAUGGCAGCAGGCGCGCAAAUUACCCAAUCCCGACACGGGGAGGUAGUGACAAUAAAUAACAAUACGGGGUUCUUUCGGAUUUCGUAAUUGGAAUGAGUACAAUUUAAAUCUCUUAACGAGGAACAAUUGGAGGGCAAGUCUGGUGCCAGCAGCCGCGGUAAUUCCAGCUCCAAUAGCGUAUAUUAAAGUUGCUGCAGUUAAAAAGCUCGUAGUUGAAUUUCGGGACCAAUAUGUCGGUCGUGCCUCGGUACGUACUGGCAUCGUUGGUUUCUCCCUUCUGACGAACCAUGAUGUCAUUCAUUUGGUGUCGUGGGGAAUCAGGACUGUUACUUUGAAAAAAUUAGAGUGUUUAAAGCAGGCUCACGCUUGAAUACAUUAGCAUGGAAUAAUGAAAUAGGACGUUUGAUUCUAUUUUGUUGGUUUCUAGGAUCGACGUAAUGAUUAAUAGGGAUAGUUGGGGGCAUUAGUAUUCAAUUGUCAGAGGUGAAAUUCUUGGAUUUAUUGAAGACUAACUACUGCGAAAGCAUUUGCCAAGGAUGUUUUCAUUAAUCAAGAACGAAAGUUAGGGGAUCGAAGACGAUCAGAUACCGUCGUAGUCUUAACCAUAAACUAUGCCGGCUAGGGAUUGGACGAUGUUAAUUUUUUAAUGACUCGUUCAGCACCUUAUGGGAAACCAAAGUGUUUGGGUUC
Molecule: ribosomal RNA, 798 nt
Filed under: uncultured Glomus
Lineage: Eukaryota; Fungi; Glomeromycota; Glomeromycetes; Glomerales; Glomeraceae
Description: SSU rRNA
Rfam family: Eukaryotic small subunit ribosomal RNA
Source: RNAcentral